CACGGCUCUGGGAGCUGCAUUUAAGGCCAGACCUUGCCCCUUUCCUGAGUUAUAGGGUUUGUGGCUUGAGCCUGGCUUCCCUCCUGGGCUUGCUGCAGACCUGCCUCACCCCUCUGGACCUGGCUGGUGAUCUGGAUUGACCCUGCUCAACGUCACAGGAUCCAUCCUGCCUUUCUGGCUCAGGUGGCUGAAAGAGCCCAGAGUGGUAAAAUGAAGGCUUGUCAAGCUCUCAGGAAGAAGAGGCUGCCCAUCCUACAUCUGUGUUUUCCCUCCCCUCUCCUACCCUGCUGCAUUUCAGAAGGAACAACAGAGCCAGGCUGUACCAACUCUUUCCAGCACUGUGGAGAGGCAUUCACUUGUUCUAACACCAAGAGGUUUGCACCUCCUGGGUGGGGAGGGCACUCUGGGUUUAUUUAAAGGUGGGCCAGAGUAUUAGCAACCUUCAAUGAAAGGAGGGAAGGAAGGAGCUGAUCUUGCAGACAAAUGAUUCCCAUUCCAGUGACACCCAGCAGAGCACUGGUGAGAAAGCAGCAGGCAAUGGCAGUGUGAGCAGAGAAGAGCAGUCCUGUGUUGGCAACCACUGAAGAGGCAGGGAAGAGCUACAAAGCAGCAAUGGAAGUGAUGAAAACUAAAAUGAGUUUGGGCUUCAGUGAUCAGAAAGGAAAAAGGGGAAGAGGAACAUGCAAAUGGCAAGACAGGAGAAUUGGUUUCACCACCCAGGACUGGAUUCUUACAAGCUGCUCUUUGCCUCCCAGAUUGAUCUGAUUUCAACCCAUAUUUAUUCUCAUCCCCCACAAUCCUGCUGCUAAUCUCUUUUGCUCAUUAUGGAAGUUAAUUACAGCAGAGAUGAUGACUCAUUACACUGAGGUUUACUGAAAAUACUGUUCCCACAAAAGCUUAUGUAAGGCUGAUCUUUGGGCAUCCUUCCCUGAUGGGCAUCAUGUGCUUCAGCACCAGCUCUGCCUUCAGGGCUCGGCUCAAAGCAUCAAAGUUUCUCCAGGUUCAGUGGUGGGCAAGUCUCAUCUCACCUCUGGCACUGACUUGGCAAGCAGCUGGAGAAAAUCAAGUGUCUGGUUAAUUAAUGCUUGUUAAGAAGGGGCUUGGUGAGGGGGAGAGGACUAGGACUCGGGGUUCUGUUUCCUGCUAACCUGCCUCUGGCUCCAUACCUGUUUUCUGAUUUCUUGUGCUAAGGACUAAGAGAAGACCAGGAAGCAUCCCAUGGGAUGGGGAAAAAGAAAGGAGAGCUUAAAAACUGAAAAGCACUUCCCACCAUGAGGAACAGCUGGGAUGUAGGAGUCAUUGAUAUUUCCCUGCCCAAGGAAUGAGAUCAGGAGCAGGCUUCUCCACACGCACCCCCUCUUCCCCUUCCAUCAGCCUGCCAAGAGCUGCUGUGUGGGCAGAGCCCUGGGAGGCUGCUGUGGCUCUUCCAAACUCUCCUCCAGCCACCAGCUGGGCUCUAAGCAGGCUCACCUGGAGAAAAGCAGCUGACCCACCCAGCAGGCCCAGCCCAAGAGCUCUCCAUAAGCCACCAGUUUAGAGUUUGCAGUUACUCCCAGAACACAUCCCUCAACCUAGCUCCAGCCCUGCUGCCUCCUGCUCGGGCUAAGGCUGCCCAGCUCAGCCCCACAGUGAGGACCAUGGGGAGAAGGAAUGCAGACCUGCCUCUGUGGGCCCUGAGGUGAUGAGCAGGAUCUCUGGGGUCAGGUAAUUCAGCCUCUGAUGCACAAUUUGAUUGAGAAAUCACAGCGUGGCAGAGAGCA
This is a long non-coding RNA of Pogoniulus pusillus (Red-fronted tinkerbird), 1760 nucleotides long. RefSeq lists it as uncharacterized. The record is from RefSeq and is a predicted model, not a curated record. NCBI's taxonomy places the organism in Eukaryota, Metazoa, Chordata, Aves, Piciformes, Lybiidae. The transcript is spliced from 2 exons.